GACAAACGCUGGCGGCAUGCCUAACACAUGCAAGUCGAACGGACAGAACAGGGUAGCUUUUCGGUGUGGAACUGGACGGUUAGUGGCGGAUGGGUUGGUAACGCGUGGACAACCUACCUUGUAAAGGGGAAUAACCUCGAUAAAUGGAAGCUAAUACCCCAUAAUAAACUUUCUUAGCAUGAAUUAAGUGUGGGAUGCGGCCUUAGCGCUGUCGCUUGAAGGUGGGUCCGCGUCUUAUUAGCUCGGUGGCGAGGUAAAGGCUUACCAAGGCGACGAUCAGUAGCCGGCGUGAGGGGGUGAACGGCCACAGUGGGACUGAGACACGGCCCAAAGACCGAGGGGAGGCAGCAGUGGGGAAUGUUCGGAAAUGGGCGAAAUACUGAAGGAGCAAUGCAGCGUGAGUGAAGAAGGGCUUCGGGUUGUAAAACUCUGUUCUUAUCGAAGAGAGAGUGUUGUAGUAACUGAGCAUACUAGGACGGUAGAUGAGGAGGAAGCACCGGCUAACUAUGUG
This 511-nucleotide ribosomal RNA is filed under the name uncultured bacterium. Its description in RNAcentral is "partial 16S ribosomal RNA". It matches the Rfam family "Bacterial small subunit ribosomal RNA", at positions 28 to 507 of the family's 1533-position model. The record is from RNAcentral.